Molecule: ribosomal RNA, 267 nt
Filed under: uncultured bacterium
Lineage: Bacteria
Description: partial 16S ribosomal RNA
Rfam family: Bacterial small subunit ribosomal RNA
Source: RNAcentral
GUCCUAGCCCUAAACGAUGCUCAUUAGGUGUGGGAGGUAUCGACCCCUUCCGCGCCGUAGCUAACGCAUUAAAUGAGCCGCCUGGGGAGUACGGCCGCAAGGUUGAAACUCAAAGGAAUUGACGGGGGCCCGCACAAGCGGUGGAGCAUGUGGUUUAAUUCGACGCAACGCGAAGAACCUUACCUGGGCUUGAACUACUGGUAGUAAGUCUUUGGAAACAUAGACUGAUCCGCAAGGAAGCCAGCAGAGGUGCUGCAUGGUUGUCGU